This 85-nucleotide transfer RNA is filed under the name Crocuta crocuta (spotted hyena). It matches the Rfam family "tRNA". Rfam says of the family: Transfer RNA (tRNA) molecules are approximately 80 nucleotides in length. Their secondary structure includes four short double-helical elements and three loops (D, anti-codon, and T loops). RNAcentral also lists the same sequence under 1 other name. Lineage: Eukaryota; Metazoa; Chordata; Mammalia; Carnivora; Hyaenidae. The record is from Rfam by way of RNAcentral.
GCCUGGGUGGCUCAGUCGGUUGAGCGUCCGACUUCGGCUCAGGUCAUGAUCUCACAGUUUGUGGGUUCAAGCCCUGCAUCAGGCU